This 1065-nucleotide ribosomal RNA is filed under the name uncultured Propionibacterium sp. Its description in RNAcentral is "bacterial SSU rRNA". It matches the Rfam family "Bacterial small subunit ribosomal RNA", at positions 8 to 1088 of the family's 1533-position model. The record is from RNAcentral. Lineage: Bacteria; Bacillati; Actinomycetota; Actinomycetes; Propionibacteriales; Propionibacteriaceae.
AGAGUUUGAUCCUGGCUCAGGACGAACGCUGGCGGCGUGCUUAACACAUGCAAGUCGAACGGUAAGGCCCUUCGGGGUACACGAGUGGCGAACGGGUGAGUAACGCGUGAGUAACCUGCCCUUGACUCUGGGAUAACAGAUGGAAACGUCUGCUAAUACCGGAUACUCAACCUCCUGGGCAUCCAGAGGGUUGGAAAGCUCCGGCGGUCAAGGAUGGACUCGCGUCCUAUCAGCUUGUUGGUGGGGUAAUGGCCUACCAAGGCGACGACGGGUAGCCGGCCUGAGAGGGCGACCGGCCACAUUGGGACUGAGAUACGGCCCAAACUCCUACGGGAGGCAGCAGUGGGGAAUAUUGCACAAUGGGCGCAAGCCUGAUGCAGCAACGCCGCGUGCGGGAUGACGGCCUUCGGGUUGUAAACCGCUUUCAAUUGUGACGAAGCUUUUUGUGACGGUAGCAGUAGAAGAAGCACCGGCUAACUACGUGCCAGCAGCCGCGGUGAUACGUAGGGUGCGAGCGUUGUCCGGAUUUAUUGGGCGUAAAGAGCUUGUAGGCGGUCUGCUGCGUCGAAAGUGCAAACUCAGGGCUCAACCCUGAGCCUGCUUUCGAUACGGGCUGACUAGAGGAAGGUAGGGGAGAAUGGAAUUCCCGGUGGAGCGGUGGAAUGCGCAGAUAUCGGGAGGAACACCAGUGGCGAAGGCGGUUCUCUGGACCUUUCCUGACGCUGAGAAGCGAAAGCGUGGGGAGCGAACAGGCUUAGAUACCCUGGUAGUCCACGCCGUAAACGGUGGGUACUAGGUGUGGGGGACAUUCCACGUUCUCCGUGCCGUAGCUAACGCAUUAAGUACCCCGCCUGGGGAGUACGGCCGCAAGGCUAAAACUCAAAGGAAUUGACGGGGCCCCGCACAAGCGGCGGAGCAUGCGGAUUAAUUCGAUGCAACGCGAAGAACCUUACCUGGGUUUGACAUAUGCCGGAAGCGUUCAGAGAUGGGCGUGCCUUUUUGGUCGGUUUACAGGUGGUGCAUGGCUGUCGUCAGCUCGUGUCGUGAGAUGUUGGGUUAAGUCCC